RNAcentral lists this unclassified non-coding RNA (1108 nucleotides) under Rhizobium sp. PEPSM12. Its description in RNAcentral is "partial contains 16S ribosomal RNA, 16S-23S ribosomal RNA intergenic spacer, and 23S ribosomal RNA". The stretch from base 192 to 265 matches the Rfam family "tRNA". Lineage: Bacteria; Pseudomonadati; Pseudomonadota; Alphaproteobacteria; Hyphomicrobiales; Rhizobiaceae. The record is from RNAcentral.
CAUGUCUCGGAUGAACCUUCCCGUGCUUUUUAGAACAUAGAUCGGAUCAGUCAGAUCACGAUCGCAACGUAAUACGCCGCAUAGACUUCGGUCAUGACGGUAUGGCGGGCUGCGCCGUCCACGUUUCUCUUUCUUCAAGAAGACAAAGAACCGCGUCGAUCCAGUUUAGGCUGGACCGGUUUGACGAGAAUGGGCCCGUAGCUCAGUUGGUUAGAGCACACGCUUGAUAAGCGUGGGGUCGGAAGUUCAAGUCUUCCCGGGCCCACCAUUCGCAUCUGCGAAUGAGGGUUGGGAAUUGACGGCAGGCGCGGAAAGUUGCCGAACCUGAGUUAUCUCAGGCGAUCGAGCUGAUGGGGCUGUAGCUCAGCUGGGAGAGCACCUGCUUUGCAAGCAGGGGGUCAGCGGUUCGAUCCCGCUCAGCUCCACCAAAUCGAUUGGUGUUGAGACUGGCGGCAACCGAGCGAAGCUCGCAAGCGUGAAGCGCGCGUCGCCAAUCGUUUGGCGCCCCCGCGGAGCGCCUUCGGCGCGUGAGCGACACAUUUGUCUUUUGAAGAAAUAAAAGUUUGCAUCGGCUUAUGCCUGAUGCCUGUUCUGCAUACAUUGUGAAGAGAAGAUUGAUCUGGAGGCUUCCAGGUGUUUUGGGUUUUGGCCCGAAACGUCCGAGCCCAGUUCUGCUGAUCCUNUGGAUGGCCUAGCCGGCCGGAGAUAGGGGAAGGACUGGAGGUAGGAAGGAAGCUUGUCGCUCUGGGUCGUUGUUGUUUGGUCAUCUUUAGGGAUGGGCAUCUGACGGACGACUUGAUUACCGUUGCCUGACCGCGCGGUAUCGGAUCAUAUCUCGAGAAGCUGGUCUUAAGACCUGACACAAGCGAGCUGCUCGGCGUAGCUCCAAUAAAGUGAUCAGGUCGAACACGUCGAUGGCAUCAAAGAUGGUCCGGGUUGUAAAAGGUAACCCUGGCCGCCGCAUCCCUUCGGGAUGCCGGCUAAGUGAUGAGCAUUGGCAAUGAGAACGAUUAAGUGUCGUAAGGGCAUUUGGUGGAUGCCUUGGCAUGCACAGGCGAUGAAGGACGUGAUACGCUGCGAAAAGCCGUGGGGAGCUGCGAAUGAGCUU